This 498-nucleotide ribosomal RNA is filed under the name uncultured Oscillibacter sp. RNAcentral describes it as "partial 16S ribosomal RNA". The record is from RNAcentral. Lineage: Bacteria; Bacillati; Bacillota; Clostridia; Eubacteriales; Oscillospiraceae.
CACGUAGUUAGCCGUGGCUUAUUCAAGGGGUACCGUCUUCUACUCUUCCCCCUUAAAAGAAGUUUACAACCCGAAAGCCUUCUUCCUUCACGCGGCGUUGCUGGGUCAGACUUGCGUCCAUUGCCCAAUAUUCCCCCACUGCUGCCUCCCGUAGGAGUCUGGGCCGUAUCUCAGUCCCAAUGUGGCCGGCCAACCCUCUCAGUCCGGCUACUGAUCGUCGCCUUGGUGGGCCGUUACCUCACCAACUAGCUAAUCAGACGCGAGGCCAUCUUCCAGCGAUAAAUCUUUGACACCAAAGCCAUGCGACUUCGAUGCAUCAUGCGGUAUUAGCAGUCGUUUCCAACUGUUGUCCCCCUCUGGAAGGCAGGUUCCUCACGCGUUACUCACCAGUCCGCCACUAAGCAUUCCCAUCCGUUGUCCGAAACUCCUUCAGGGGUGCUCCGUUCGACUUGCAUGUGUUAAGCACGCCGCCAGCGUCUCUGUGCCACGAUCAACUAC